GCAGUCGAGCGCUGAUUCAGGGGUAGCAAUAUUCCUGAGUCGGAGCGGCGCAAGGGUGCGUAACACGUGGGUAAUUUGCCAUGAAGUCUGGAAUAACUUGCUGAAAGGCGAGCUAAUGCCGGAUGUGACAUUUGGGGGGCAUCUCCUGAAUCUCAAAGUUGGGGACCGUAAGGCCUGACGCUUCUUGAUAAGCCCGCGGCCUAUCAGCUAGUUGGUGAGGUAAUGGCUCACCAAGGCUAAGACGGGUAGCUGGUCUGAGAGGACGACCAGCCACACUGGAACUGAGACACGGUCCAGACACCUACGGGUGGCAGCAGUCGAGAAUUUUUCACAAUGGGCGCAAGCCUGAUGGAGCGACGCCGCGUGGGGGAUGAAUGGCUUCGGCCCGUAAACCCCUGUCAUUUGCGAACAAACCUUGUCCGUUAAUAGCGGACAAGCUGAUUGUAGCGGAAGAGGAAGGGACGGCUAACUCUGUGCCAGCAGCCGCGGUAAUACAGAGGUCCCGAGCGUUGUUCGGAUUCACUGGGCGUAAAGGGUGCGUAGGUGGUGAGGUAAGUCGGAUGUGAAAUCUCCGGGCUUAACCCGGAAAUGGCAUUGGAAACUACCUUGCUAGAGGAUUUGAGGGGGGAUUGGAAUACUUGGUGUAGCAGUGAAAUGCGUAGAUAUCAAGUGGAACACCAGUGGCGAAGGCGAAUC
Molecule: ribosomal RNA, 696 nt
Filed under: uncultured Verrucomicrobiota bacterium
Lineage: Bacteria; Pseudomonadati; Verrucomicrobiota
Description: bacterial SSU rRNA
Rfam family: Bacterial small subunit ribosomal RNA
Source: RNAcentral